This 497-nucleotide ribosomal RNA is filed under the name uncultured bacterium. RNAcentral's name for it is "partial 16S ribosomal RNA". It matches the Rfam family "Bacterial small subunit ribosomal RNA", at positions 28 to 507 of the family's 1533-position model. The record is from RNAcentral.
GAUGAACGCUGGCGGCGUGCCUAAUACAUGCAAGUCGAGCGAACAGACGAGGAGCUUGCUCCUCUGACGUUAGCGGCGGACGGGUGAGUAACACGUGGAUAACCUACCUAUAAGACUGGGAUAACUUCGGGAAACCGGAGCUAAUACCGGAUAAUAUAUUGAACCGCAUGGUUCAAUAGUGAAAGACGGUUUUGCUGUCACUUAUAGAUGGAUCCGCGCCGCAUUAGCUAGUUGGUAAGGUAACGGCUUACCAAGGCAACGAUGCGUAGCCGACCUGAGAGGGUGAUCGGCCACACUGGAACGGAGACACGGUCCAGACUCCUACGGGAGGCAGCAGUAGGGAAUCUUCCGCAAUGGGCGAAAGCCUGACGGAGUAACGCCGCGUGAGUGAUGAAGGUCUUCGGAUCGUAAAACUCUGUUAUUAGGGAAGAACAAAUGUGUAAGUAACUAUGCACGUCUUGACGGUACCUAAUCAGAAAGCCACGGCUAACUACGUG